GCCUUUGUCAUUGACUUUCUUUGAGAUAGAAUCUGAAAGUUGAGAAAAAGUUGCUCAGAUGAAGGUUGUAGUUUUGAGGGGCAGGGGUAAGAAAAAGAAGGAUCAGCAAGCAGAGAGCAAGGCAAGUGUCAAUGCUUAGAGGCUAGAAGGAGAAAAUGAGAUAAUCCACAUUCAAGUUAAUACAUUUUAUAAUGCUUAACAUCAAAUGUCUUUUACAUGUAUUAUUUCAUUGUUAGAUUUACUUGAUUUUAAUACUUUAACCUUAUAUAGCACGUGCUUUAGUUCAUGAAAUCACAGCCCCAGUUCAUUGACUAACAAGAAAAUAUGGUAAUAUUUAACUCCAGUGUUUAGGUAAACAAGUUAACAUAUAUUCAUAUAUGUUUG
Molecule: long non-coding RNA, 384 nt
Filed under: Bos taurus (domestic cattle)
Lineage: Eukaryota; Metazoa; Chordata; Mammalia; Artiodactyla; Bovidae
Description: long non-coding RNA NONBTAT025625
Source: RNAcentral